UACGUAGGGUGCGAGCGUUGUCCGGAAUUAUUGGGCGUAAAGGGCUCGUAGGCGGUCUGUUGCGUCAGGAGUGAAAACUCGGGGCUUAACCCCGAGCCUGCUUCUGAUACGGGCAGACUAGAGGUAUGCAGGGGAGAACGGAAUUCCUGGUGUAGCGGUGAAAUGCGCAGAUAUCAGGAGGAACACCAAUAGCGAAGGCAGCUCGCUGGGACGUAACUGACACUGAGGCGCGAAAGCGUGGGGAGCGAACAGG
This 253-nucleotide ribosomal RNA is filed under the name uncultured bacterium. Its description in RNAcentral is "partial 16S ribosomal RNA". It matches the Rfam family "Bacterial small subunit ribosomal RNA", at positions 524 to 776 of the family's 1533-position model. The record is from RNAcentral.